UGGGGACGUUGCCGGGGCCCUGCGUUGCCCAGAGGUGCCACCUCUUUGAGCUGCAGCCGGGCGAGAAGAUCCGCAAGAUGAAGAAGCUGCGGAGAACUUGGUCGAGAGUUUCAGCCGCAUUGCUUUGAAGAAAGGAAGAUGACCAUCUUUUACUGCCCAACGACAUCUUUCUACCAAUGUGAACAGAGACUAGCAGCACAGUGAUCACCUGCAGAUAGACCUGGCUUUAUCUGUACAUAACACCAAAAGAAAGAACCUGGAUUCCACAAGGAAAUAAAGAUUUUCAGUCCCUGCAAGAAUUC
This 302-nucleotide long non-coding RNA is filed under the name Pan troglodytes (chimpanzee). Its description in RNAcentral is "long non-coding RNA NONPTRT005056". The record is from RNAcentral. Lineage: Eukaryota; Metazoa; Chordata; Mammalia; Primates; Hominidae.